CAGUAGCCGCGGUAAUACGAAGGGGGCUAGCGUUGUUCGGAUUUACUGGGCGUAAAGGGCGCGUAGGCGGACUGAUAAGUCAGGGGUGAAAUCCCAAGGCUCAACCUUGGAACUGCCUUUGAUACUGUUUGUCUUGAGUUCGAGAGAGGUAAGUGGAACUGCGAGUGUAGAGGUGAAAUUCGUAGAUAUUCGCAAGAACACCAGUGGCGAGGGCGGCUUACUGGCUCGAAACUGACGCUGAGGCGCGAAAGCGUGGGGAGCAAACAGGAUUAGAGACCCGCGUAGUCCCUGUCUCUUAUAC
Molecule: ribosomal RNA, 301 nt
Filed under: uncultured bacterium
Lineage: Bacteria
Description: partial 16S ribosomal RNA
Rfam family: Bacterial small subunit ribosomal RNA
Source: RNAcentral